AAAUUGAAGAGUUUGAUCAUGGCUCAGAUUGAACGCUGGCGGCAGGCCUAACACAUGCAAGUCGAACGGUAACAGGAARCAGCUUGCUGYUUCGCUGACGAGUGGCGGACGGGUGAGUAAUGUCUGGGAAACUGCCUGAUGGAGGGGGAUAACUACUGGAAACGGUAGCUAAUACCGCAUAAYGUCGCAAGACCAAAGAGGGGGACCUUCGGGCCUCUUGCCAUCGGAUGUGCCCAGAUGGGAUUAGCUUGUUGGUGGGGUAACGGCUCACCAAGGCGACGAUCCCUAGCUGGUCUGAGAGGAUGACCAGCCACACUGGAACUGAGACACGGUCCAGACUCCUACGGGAGGCAGCAGUGGGGAAUAUUGCACAAUGGGCGCAAGCCUGAUGCAGCCAUGCCGCGUGUAUGAAGAAGGCCUUCGGGUUGUAAAGUACUUUCAG
This 442-nucleotide ribosomal RNA is filed under the name Escherichia coli. Its description in RNAcentral is "bacterial SSU rRNA". It matches the Rfam family "Bacterial small subunit ribosomal RNA", at positions 1 to 439 of the family's 1533-position model. Lineage: Bacteria; Pseudomonadati; Pseudomonadota; Gammaproteobacteria; Enterobacterales; Enterobacteriaceae. The record is from RNAcentral.